RNAcentral lists this long non-coding RNA (527 nucleotides) under Zonotrichia albicollis (white-throated sparrow). RNAcentral describes it as "lncRNA (ENSZALG00000017168.1)". The record is from RNAcentral. Lineage: Eukaryota; Metazoa; Chordata; Aves; Passeriformes; Passerellidae.
CAAAUUUAGCCAUUCUUGUUGUUACUGUUUCUCAAAAGAACUGACCCAAAAUUUAAAAGCUCAGUUGUAAGUAUUAUCUGCUAGUAGUUCUGUGAAAAUAUGAGGGUGGAUUGCUCUUCUCUUUAAAAACUAAUUUACCCUCAAUGCAUUUCCCUGACCACAUGCUCUCUGUUCUUCUUGCUCUGGUAAGCUUGCCUAGAAGCUGAUCUGCAUUGGAGCUAAUCAAGAUGCUUCACUUCACCUCGCCUUUGUCAGCAUACAAAAGCUCAUGUCAGGAAAGCUUUCAGAGGACCAUGCUGAAUUUUAAGAGAUCUGAAUUUGGCUGAGGAUGAGCAAGCAGCUGUUACUUUCAAACAUUCUUCUUGAGAAUUCUACAGGAGGUCUGAGCAAAAGAGAAUAUCUGAUUAAUCACCUUGUCCCAAAUCAGCCACAGGAAAUCAUUGCUUCUGGGAUCAAGAGCAGUGGUGCCAGUCACAGCUGAGCCAAGAGGGAGCCGGGCUGAGCCCAAAGGUGCCCAGGGGAGUGAC